This 447-nucleotide ribosomal RNA is filed under the name uncultured bacterium. RNAcentral describes it as "bacterial SSU rRNA". It matches the Rfam family "Bacterial small subunit ribosomal RNA", at positions 474 to 914 of the family's 1533-position model. The record is from RNAcentral.
GGUACCCGAAUAAGAAGCACCGGCUAACUACGUGCCAGCAGCCGCGGUAAUACGUAGGGUGCGAGCGUUAAUCGGAAUUACUGGGCGUAAAGCGUGCGCAGGCGGUUUGGUAAGUCAGAUGUGAAAUCCCCGGGCUCAACCUGGGAACUGCAUUUGAGACUGCCAGGCUGGAGUUUGGCAGAGGGGGGUGGAAUUCCACGUGUAGCAGUGAAAUGCGUAGAGAUGUGGAGGAACACCGAUGGCGAAGGCAGCCCCCUGGGCCAAAUACUGACGCUCAUGCACGAAAAGCGUGGGGAGCAAAACAGGAUUAGAUACCCUGGUAUCCACGCCCUAAAACGAUGUCAACUAGGUGUUGGGAGGGUUAAAACCUUUUUAGUGCCGUAGCUAACGCGUGAAGUUGACCGCCUGGGAGUACGGCCGCAAGGCUAAAACUACAAAGGAAUUGAC